This 348-nucleotide unclassified non-coding RNA is filed under the name soil metagenome. RNAcentral describes it as "partial contains 5.8S ribosomal RNA, internal transcribed spacer 2, and large subunit ribosomal RNA". The stretch from base 1 to 120 matches the Rfam family "5.8S ribosomal RNA", at positions 35 to 154 of the family's 154-position model. The record is from RNAcentral.
GAUGAAGAACGUAGCGAAAUGCGAUAAGUAAUGUGAAUUGCAGAAUUCAGUGAAUCAUCGAAUCUUUGAACGCACAUUGCGCCCGCCAGUAUUCUGGCGGGCAUGCCUGUCUGAGCGUCAUUUCAACCCUCAUGCCCCUAGGGCGUGGUGUUGGGGAUCGGCCAAAGCCCGCGAGGGACGGCCGGCCCCUAAAUCUAGUGGCGGACCCGUCGUGGCCUCCUCUGCGAAGUAGUGAUAUUCCGCAUCGGAGAGCGAUGAGCCCCUGCCGUUAAACCCCCAACUUUCCAAGGUUGACCUCAGAUCAGGUAGGAAUACCCGCUGAACUUAAGCAUAUCAAUAGGCGGAGGA